AUUGAACGCUGGCGGCAUGCCUUACACAUGCAAGUCGAACGGCAGCACGGGAGCAAUCCUGGUGGCGAGUGGCGAACGGGUGAGUAAAGUAUCGGAACGUGCCCAGUCGUGGGGGAUAACGUAGCGAAAGUUACGCUAAUACCGCAUACGAUCUAUGGAUGAAAGCGGGGGAUCGCAAGACCUCGCGCGAUUGGAGCGGCCGAUAUCAGAUUAGGUAGUUGGUGGGGUAAAGGCUCACCAAGCCGACGAUCUGUAGCUGGUCUGAGAGGACGACCAGCCACACUGGGACUGAGACACGGCGCAGACUCCUACGGGAGGGAGCAGUGGGGAAUUUUGGACAACGGGCGAAAGCCUGAUCCAGCCAUGCCGCGUGAAGGAUGAAGGCCUUCGGGUUGUAAACUGCUUUUGUACGGAACGAAAAGGUUUGGCCUAAUAAGCUGAGCUCAUGACGGUACCGUAAGAGUAAGCACCGGCUAACUACGUGCCAGCCGCCGCAGUAA
This 500-nucleotide ribosomal RNA is filed under the name uncultured bacterium. Its description in RNAcentral is "partial 16S ribosomal RNA". It matches the Rfam family "Bacterial small subunit ribosomal RNA", at positions 30 to 523 of the family's 1533-position model. The record is from RNAcentral.